This is a non-coding RNA of Odocoileus virginianus texanus, 799 nucleotides long. NCBI's taxonomy places the organism in Eukaryota, Metazoa, Chordata, Mammalia, Artiodactyla, Cervidae. The record is from RefSeq and is a predicted model, not a curated record.
CUGGCGUGCUGCGGUUUGUGGGGUUGCAAAGAGUCAGACACGACUGAGCGACUGAAGUGAUACUGAACUGAUGAAGAUUCCUUGUUCAUCAGGGUGUACUUUCAUCAGUGACUGAAGUAGCUGAAGACUUGAUCCUUGCGGAACCUGACAGCGAGCAACAUUCUUUUACUUACAAAAAGGAAAAAAAAAAAGGUUCACAUUUCUUGCUGGACUCAUGUAAUAGGCCUCUCAACCUAAUAGGACAGAACUAGUCACUACAUUGGCUGCUUCUUGGGAGCCAUCGAAGAAAGGCCAAGAAUCAAUAGGAGGAGAGGGUUCUGCUGCUGUCCUGGCACAAAGUCAUGACCUUUAAAACUGUGUGUGGCUCAAGGCGGGGUGGGAGUAGGGGGCCAGUUCUGGUUGUGGCUGGGCCUCCUCCAGUAGGUAAACGGAAAAGCCUCUGCAGACUUCCAAAAUUUGUAAAUAAAUCCUCCUCUGUGAUAAUGAAGGACUGAAAAUACUGUAUUUGAUACAAUAACCAAUUAAGGAAAAAUCUGCUCCUUAAAUUUUUAAGUCCAGGAUCUUUUGAAAAGGGUCUGCAGUGAGGGAAGAAUGUUUCUGUGGCUCUAAUGUCAGUAAAUAUGUUAAAACGUAUUGAAUGAUUGCAGAUGGCUAACAAGGGUGGGUAAAUGGGUCAUUGCUACAAUUCUUUAAACCAUUCUGUAUGUUUAAAAAUGGUUACAAUAAAAUGUUGGAAGUAAAGCUGCCCACAGUCAAAAGACCUGCCGGCAGCUUCACAAACCAUGUUCUGGCAGCAAAA